This 28-nucleotide small RNA is filed under the name Bombyx mori (domestic silkworm). RNAcentral's name for it is "ovarian small RNA-28248". The record is from RNAcentral. Lineage: Eukaryota; Metazoa; Arthropoda; Insecta; Lepidoptera; Bombycidae.
UCGAAUGAGACGGUGCGAUAUCCACGGA